This 433-nucleotide ribosomal RNA is filed under the name uncultured bacterium. Its description in RNAcentral is "partial 16S ribosomal RNA". It matches the Rfam family "Bacterial small subunit ribosomal RNA", at positions 29 to 507 of the family's 1533-position model. The record is from RNAcentral.
AACGAACGCUGGCGGCAUGCCUAACACAUGCAAGUCGAACGAGACCUUCGGGUCUAGUGGCGCACGGGUGCGUAACGCGUGGGAACCUGCCCUUAUGUUCUGAAUAACUCCCCGAAAGGGGUGCUAAUACCGGAUAAUGUCUUCGGACCAAAGAUUUAUCGCCUUUGGAUGGGCCCGCGUUGGAUUAGCUAGUUGGUAGGGUAAAAGCCUACCAAGGCGACGAUCCAUAGCUGGUCUGAGAGGAUGAUCAGCCACACUGGGACUGAGACACGGCCCAGACUGCUACGGGAGGCAGCAGUGGGGAAUAUUGGACAAUGGGCGAAAGCCUGAUCCAGCAAUGCCGCGUGAGUGAUGAAGGCCUUAGGGUUGUAAAGCUCUUUUACCCGGGAUGAUAAUGACAGUACCGGGAGAAUAAGCUCCGGCUAACUCCGUG